This 181-nucleotide ribosomal RNA is filed under the name uncultured Wickerhamomyces. RNAcentral describes it as "partial 26S ribosomal RNA". It matches the Rfam family "Eukaryotic large subunit ribosomal RNA", at positions 104 to 273 of the family's 3401-position model. Lineage: Eukaryota; Fungi; Ascomycota; Saccharomycetes; Phaffomycetales; Phaffomycetaceae. The record is from RNAcentral.
AGUGAGCGGCAAAGCUCAAUUUGAAAUCUAGCACCUUCGGUGUUCGAGUUGUAAUUUGAAGAUGGUAACCUUGGGUUUGGCUCUUGUCUAUGUUCCUUGGAACAGGACGUCAUAGAGGGUGAGAAUCCCGUCUGAUGAGAUGCCCAUUCCUAUGUAAGGUGCUAUCAAACAGUCGAGUUGU